GCUCAGGUGGCGGAAUUGGUAGACGCGCUAGGUUCAGGGUCUAGUGGGUUCACACCCGUGAGAGUUCGAGUCUCUCUCUGAGCA
This 84-nucleotide transfer RNA is filed under the name Deltaproteobacteria bacterium CG11_big_fil_rev_8_21_14_0_20_45_16. Its description in RNAcentral is "tRNA-Leu". It matches the Rfam family "tRNA". Rfam says of the family: Transfer RNA (tRNA) molecules are approximately 80 nucleotides in length. Their secondary structure includes four short double-helical elements and three loops (D, anti-codon, and T loops). Further hydrogen bonds mediate the characteristic L-shaped molecular structure. tRNAs have two regions of fundamental functional importance: the anti-codon, which is responsible for specific mRNA codon recognition, and the 3' end, to which the tRNAs corresponding amino acid is attached (by aminoacyl-tRNA synthetases). tRNAs cope with the degeneracy of the genetic code in two manners: having more than one tRNA (with a specific anti-codon) for a particular amino acid; and 'wobble' base-pairing, i.e. permitting non-standard base-pairing at the 3rd anti-codon position. Lineage: Bacteria; Deltaproteobacteria. The record is from RNAcentral.